UGGGGAAUCUUCUGCAAUGGGCGCAAGCCUGACAGAGCGGCGUCGUGUGAAGGAAGAAGGCCUGAAAUAGGUUGUAAACUUCUUUUACUGAGUAAUGAAUAAUGACAACGCAGUAAAAAAGUAUCGGCUAACUCCGUGCCAGCAGCCGCGGUAAUACGGGGGAUGCAAGCGUUAUCCGGAAUCACUGGGCGUAAAGCGUCUGUAGGUGGUUUAGUGUGUUCUUAGUUAAAUUAUGAAGCCUAACUUCAUGAAAAGUAAGAAAACUAUUAGACUUGAGUACGAUAGGGGUAAGAGGAAUUCUUCGAGAAGUAGUGAAAUGCGAAGAUACGAAGGAGAAGAUCAUAAGCGAAGGCUUCUUACUGGGUCGUAACUGACACUGAGAGACGAAAGCUAGGGGAGCGAAUGGGAUUAGAUACCCCAGUAGUCCUAGCUGUAAACGAUGGAUAUUCGGUGCCGGAAAUUUAGUGUAUUAGAACAUUUCGGUACCCUAGCUAACGCGUUAAAUAUCCCGCCUGAGAG
RNAcentral lists this ribosomal RNA (519 nucleotides) under uncultured marine bacterium. RNAcentral's name for it is "bacterial SSU rRNA". It matches the Rfam family "Bacterial small subunit ribosomal RNA", at positions 355 to 879 of the family's 1533-position model. The record is from RNAcentral.